This 1656-nucleotide long non-coding RNA is filed under the name Eucalyptus grandis. RNAcentral describes it as "long non-coding RNA (EGRA_LNC000789)". Lineage: Eukaryota; Viridiplantae; Streptophyta; Magnoliopsida; Myrtales; Myrtaceae. The record is from RNAcentral.
GGUAGAGUCAGAGCAAAGACGGAAUGCAAUCAAUGCAUCAUCUCAUUUUUUAGCAUUCUUUUGCCGAGCUCGUGGCACUGAUCCUUCUCCCCAGCCUCACGCUCUAUUUUCUCAAUAAGAAGAGAGCUAGCGUGCGUGGAAAUGCAGAAGAUGUUGAUACCGGUAGUCUGGUGCAUCUGGUUCGUCGACUGCAUUGGCAGAAACUAAUUUCUGUGGAUCUAGUCCGUCUUCGACAAAAACUAAUAAUUAUGCGAAGAUAGCUACGCUUUCUUAUUUAAGAGUAACAUAUAAUUGUUAAAUAAGAAUAAUAUGCUUUUGGGUGUUAAGUAAAACCUAAUUUAUAUUUUUAUUAACAUAGCUACCCCUCAUUAUUUAAGAGGAACUGCAUGCAUUUAUGUUUUAAGUAUUGUGUAAAAUUAUAUUUAAUCUGAAAUGAGCUAAGGCUGAACAUUUCAACUCCAUUCAAUAAUAUAAAUAUUUGAAUUAACACAUACAACAGCUUAUAGGUGUUCAAGGAAGAUUGCAAUCGCUUAAACAAAACCAAGAAAAACAUUGGCCAUAAAAAAUUUGAGUCAAUUUGGGUUUGGGUUGAUCGAAAAAUUGUGAAAUCAAUAAAUUUGAUAAAAUGAUUAAUUGGUAACCUCAUAAUCAACUAGGAGAAGAGUGGUGGGUCCAGCCACUCAUUCGACGUAAGAAAUGACAAAAAGCAAGAACUGGCGGGACCCGGCCAUCAAUAGAGGAGAAAGAAAAUUAUUCCAAGCUAUCUAAUUACAAAUCUGCCCAUGGAUUCUAUAAACCGAUGAAAGCUCCUCGACUUUUGCUUCCCUCUUUCUGUACAGUCCUAAUUACCUAAAGACCCACAAAUUUUAGGUUUAAUUUUCAUUUUAUCCCGAACUUUUUAUUGCCUCAAAGGACCCUCAACUUUAAACCCAAUGCUACACCAGCUAGGGGUGAUCGGUUCCCAGUUCGGUCCGGUUCCCACUUUUCUGGACCGUGGACCGGACCGGCUGGUCUUGGAACCGAGAACCGGACCGACCAACCGGUCCAGUCCGGUCCGGUCGGUUCCAAUGAACCAUCACUUGAUUUAUUUCAUAAGACUCAGAGGAUUGCCUCCGAAUCAAUGAAUCAAUUGGCAAUUAAAAUUUUCACAACUUGUGGAGAAAGAGAAAAUGUACCAAUUUUGACGAUGGAAGGGCAUUUGAGUGUUGAGCAAGGCCGAAGGUAAGGUUGUGAGAGGGGAAGGUGUCGACAUUAAGGCUUAAGCAACUUGAUCGAAGCUAGGCAUGAGGCGAGGCUGCGACUUACUGCUACAUGCUUCGCAUGACCUAUCAGCAGACCCAUUUAGAGACUAAACAACCAAGCAAACUCCAAUGAGACCGCCACACCUAUAUCAAGUGAGAUCAUACUGAAACAAACGCUACAAAAAGACAGAUCUAAAAUCGACGAAAGUGAAGUCAAGAAACGCACCUAUGUAGAGGCAAACGUCACUCCAGAGAGCAGGAAUGCACAGAUCUCGGGCAAAGCAUAAGAGGAAGAGAGCCAAGCGUAAAUGCGCAAAUCUCAGGCGAAGCAAAGGAGAAAGAGAGCCAAGCGUCAGAGCGAGCGAGGCGUCAAGGCGAGGCACUCGCCAAGCAUUAGAGCGAGCGAGGCGUCGGG